GCGCCUGUAGCUCAAUGGAUAGAGCAUCUGCCUUCUAAGCAGAGGGCUGCCUGUUCGAGUCAGGCCAGGCGCA
This 73-nucleotide transfer RNA is filed under the name bacterium. Its description in RNAcentral is "tRNA-Arg". It matches the Rfam family "tRNA". From Rfam's summary of the family: Transfer RNA (tRNA) molecules are approximately 80 nucleotides in length. The record is from RNAcentral. RNAcentral also lists the same sequence under 3 other names.